UAUGUUUUAUGAAUUAUACACUAGUAAAAUCCUGAAUUGUAGAACUGCUGUUACCCUAGCACAGAACUGAACUGGGCAGCUCAUCUCUCCUGAGACAUGUGAACCCCACUCUUCCCUGGCAACCCUCUCACCCAGUGUCCCUGCUUCCACUGUGUAUGUCUCCCUCCCAGCCAUUAUCUUUCUCCUUAGUCCUGCCCCAGGCCAAGCCAAGAAAUCAUCAUAGGCCAGGCUGGUUGUUGAUAGAGUGCAAAGAGCAAUAGAUCACCUUUUAAUGAUGGAGAGCAGCUUCUGUGGCUUCUCAGCUUCUUCCCGGGAACGUCUCCUAGCUGAGGAACGGGGAGACAGUGUUAUAUGGCAUGGGAUAAUUUCAUAGGCAUCCUAUAGGAAGCUGAAUAGUAAGGCCUUUGACUCUCAUCAAGAAAAGACUACAAUCCUGAAAAGUCCGUACUCUAAGGCAUGUCUGAGUACAGCAUCGCUGUAACACAAUGUCCCAUAUCUAAUUUCAUUUGAUUUUUACAACCACAAUGUGAUUGAGGCAGGAUUGUCAGUGUUUUGCUCAUUUUGUGGAUAAGAAUGAGAGAUGAAAUGACUUCCACAGGGUCAUAAAACUAGUAAGUUAUACAAUUAAGAACAUCUGCUCUACUUUCUUAAUUCUUCAUUUCCAGGGCAUUGAGGUACAGGAUUUUGGAACAUUCUCAAGUUAUGAUUUCCCACCCAUGGAAAUUUCAGUCUGGGGAACUGGAGUCUUCAGUGGCAGAGCACCUGGCUCUUGGCUCCAGAGGUCACAGAGGGACAGGAUUCAUGGGAAACACCCACAGUGGAAGGGAGUCAGAGGAGAGAUUGGGACUUUACCUGUUGAUGCUGCAUCUCUAGCUCUUUGCCUGACUUUUUGGUGACACUUAGAAGACAAAAACAUUAGAAUGUGAAGCUGGGACACCAUUUUCUUUCUCAUGUCCAAAAUGAGACAAAACUUACAUACAUUUUUCACUCGCUUUGUAUAUAUCUAUCUGUAUUUUAUACACUCUCCUGGACUUCCUUUGCCUAUUCCACCUUUUUACCCCAUUUUCCUUCUCUGCUUAUUUUGGAUUCACUUGGAGGCUUUUCCAAAUUCUAUACCUCCCAUCUGAUUCACAGAGAAGUCCUGCUGGAUGCUGAGGAUGACACAGGAGGAAAAGCAGAACAGACAAAAGGGUAAAUGGUUCUAACAACCAAAGGACUUCUGCUUACAAAGCCCACCAACCGGAAAAAUCCCCCAUAUUCAGAGAGCUUCCGAGAUCCAGCAAGAUAGACUUCAUAUUAUCUAGUUCUCAAUCCAAACCAAAUAGAGAGGUUCUUGGCUUUUCAAUCAGACUAUGUUGCGGGAAGGGCCUGGUAAGGAAUUAUAGUCUCUGAGAAGAAAAGUAUUACACAAAGGUAACUGAAAGUAUGCUAUAAAAAUUCUGGGGUGGGGAUUAUAAGGGAGCACGGUAAGAACUUAUAGGCUUCUUAUCUGAGGCUUAAUUAGUUCAGUUGGGAUCACAGCCCUACCCGGCAGCAGCUCCUUUUAGGUUCUGAACUCAAUUCAUGGUGGCUCCUUUUCACUUGCCAGAUAAUUACAAUAACGAUGAAGAUGGAGCCAUAGAUGUAUAAGGGAUAUCCAACUUCCCACAGAACAAAAGUAGGGCUCAACAUGGUCUAAACUUCAUUAGCAUGAGAUCAACCAUCCCUCUAUCUCGGAAUUCAGGGUUCUGGUGCCUAAUGAAUCCCAGUGCUAGGCCUUGUCAUGUCCACCUCACAGAGGACGGAACUAGGCCACCAGACUGCAUCACAAAGCCCUCCUGUUUCAUAAGGUACAUGUAGUAGGGAAGCUCAUGUGGUGAUUCAGUCUGUAGAUGAGGGUGUUUUGAGCCUGGGACUGAAGGUGCCACAAGCAGUGUCUAUUUCCUAGUCUGUCUUCACUUUCCACUCCCUAUACCAGCCUGAUGCCUCGGCUCUCUCCUUCACAACUGUAUGGUCACCUGUCCUCAGAAAACUGAGUGCUUUGGCACAGGGGUCACCUCAUAAGAAGGGGUAGAUAGGCCGGAGGAACCUCCACUAACUCUCCCACUAGUUUUGGUAAUAUACCUGAGAAACACACAUGAAUUUAGGGAGGGCGGAGUCUGGUUAUGGCUUGGAAAUGGAGAUCUUUGAUGUUUUAGGCAAUGGGUGAUUGGUAACAGAGGUGCAGGAAGGGGACCAUGGCUGAUGUGGUAGGGUGGUAGGGAGAGGCCAAGGUGGUUGUACGUAUCUGGUCUGUGUGGCCUCAAGCUUGCAGAUGGGUUGGGACUGUAAAUGCUACCUUCCAUGGAGGCACAUUCAUGCUCAGGGAGAUGAAUGCCUGCAGAGAUGGGUUAGUGGCCGCUUCUGACUGUGGGUCACAAGUGACUAGUUGCUGUUCAUGGUUG
This 2423-nucleotide long non-coding RNA is filed under the name Homo sapiens (human). RNAcentral describes it as "HSALNT0148420". Lineage: Eukaryota; Metazoa; Chordata; Mammalia; Primates; Hominidae. The record is from RNAcentral.